CCUACGGGAGGCAGCAGUGGGGAAUAUUGGGCAAUGGAGGAAACUCUGAACCAGCAAUGCCGCGUGAAGGAAGAAGGUCUUCGGAGUGGAAAGUUCCUUAGUCAGGGAAGAAGUCAAUGAGGGGACCUGAAGAAUAAGCUCCGGCGAACUACGUGCAAGCAGCCGCGGUAAUACGGAGGGAGCAAGGGUUGUUCGGAAUGACUUGGCGUAAAGGGUGCGUAGGCGGUUGGACAAGUUAGAAGUGAAAUACCCAGGGCUUAACUCGGGUGCUGCUUCUAAAACUGUAUGACUUGAGUGCAGUAGAGGUUAGUGGAAUUCCUAGUGUAGCGGUGGAAUGCGUAGAUAUUAGGAGGAACACCAGAGGCGAAGGCAGCUAACUGGACUGCAACUGACGCUGAGGCACGAAAGUGUGGGGAGCAAACAGGAUUAGAUACCCCUGUAGUC
This 444-nucleotide ribosomal RNA is filed under the name uncultured bacterium. RNAcentral's name for it is "partial 16S ribosomal RNA". It matches the Rfam family "Bacterial small subunit ribosomal RNA", at positions 338 to 795 of the family's 1533-position model. The record is from RNAcentral.